RNAcentral lists this ribosomal RNA (494 nucleotides) under uncultured bacterium. RNAcentral's name for it is "partial 16S ribosomal RNA". It matches the Rfam family "Bacterial small subunit ribosomal RNA", at positions 28 to 507 of the family's 1533-position model. The record is from RNAcentral.
GACGAACGCUGGCGGCGUGCUUAACACAUGCAAGUCGAACGGUGAAGCGCCUUCCUUUUUGGUGGGUGUGGAUGAGUGGCGAACGGGUGAGUAACACGUGAGUAACCUGCCCCCUUCUUCUGGAUAACCGCAUGAAAGUGUGGCUAAUACGGGAUAUUCUGGGUCUGUCGCAUGAUGGGUCUGGGAAAGAUAUUGUUUCGGUGGGGGAUGGGCUCGCGGCCUAUCAGCUUGUUGGUGGGGUGAUGGCCUACCAAGGCGGUGACGGGUAGCCGGCCUGAGAGGGUGGACGGUCACACUGGGAAUGAGACACGGCCCAGACUCCUACGGGAGGCAGCAGUGGGGAAUAUUGCACAAUGGGCGCAAGCCUGAUGCAGCGACGCCGCGUGAGGGAUGGAGGCCUUCGGGUUGUGAACCUCUUUCGCCAGUGAAGCAGGCCUGCCUCGUUUGUGGGUGGGUUGACGGUAGCUGGAUAAGAAGCGCCGGCUAACUACGUG